RNAcentral lists this ribosomal RNA (332 nucleotides) under uncultured eukaryote. Its description in RNAcentral is "partial 18S ribosomal RNA". It matches the Rfam family "Eukaryotic small subunit ribosomal RNA", at positions 1470 to 1796 of the family's 1831-position model. The record is from RNAcentral.
CCCUUAGAUGUUCUGGGCUGCACACGUGCUACACUGGCAGGUUCAGCGAGCUUCAUGCCCUGAUCUGAAAGGAAUGGGAAAUCUUUUCAAAACCUGCCGUGCUUGGGAUAGAUGUUUGCCAUUAUUCAUCUUCAACGAGGAUUGCCUUGUAAGCGCACGUCAUCAGCGUGCAUUGAAUACGACCCUGUAUUCUGUACACACCGCCCGUCGCUCCUACCGAUUGAAGUUUUCGGUGAGUUGACAGGAGGAUUUUUUUGAAACUGGUUCGCCAGUGGAUUUUAGAUCCAAAUGCCAACGAAUCGAUGGCUUUAGAGGAAGGAGAAGUCGUAACA